GACGAACGCUGGCGGCGUGCUUAACACAUGCAAGUCGAACGGAAAGGCCCUGCUUUUGUGGGGGGCUCGAGUGGCGAACGGGUGAGUAACAAGGGAGUAACCUGCCCUUGACUUGGGGAUAACGUCAGGAAACUGGGGCUAAUACCGGAUAGGAGCUCCUGCGGCAGGGUGGGGGUUGGAAAGUUUCGGCGGUUGGGGAUGGACUCGCGGCUUAUCAGCUUGUUGGUGGGGUAGUGGCUUACCAAGGCUUUGACGGGUAGCCGGCCUGAGAGGGUGACCGGCCACAUUGGGACUGAGAUACGGCCCAGACUCCUACGGGAGGCAGCAGUGGGGAAUAUUGCACAAUGGGCCGAAGCCUGAUGCAGCAACGCCGCGUGCGGGAUGACGGCCUUCGGGUUGUAACCCGCUUUCGCAUGUGACGACGCGUGAGUGACGGUAAUGGGUAAAGAAGCACCGGCUAACUACGUG
Molecule: ribosomal RNA, 468 nt
Filed under: uncultured bacterium
Lineage: Bacteria
Description: partial 16S ribosomal RNA
Rfam family: Bacterial small subunit ribosomal RNA
Source: RNAcentral